ACGGAGGGUGCAAGCGUUAUUCGGAAUUACUGGGCGUAAAGCGCGUGUAGGCGGUCCUGCAAGUCUGAUGUGAAAGCUCCGGGCUUAACCCGGGAAGUGCAUUGGAAACUGUGGUACUUGAGUACUGGAGAGGAUGGGGGAAUUCCCGGUGUAGAGGUGAAAUGCGUAGAGAUCGGGAGGAAUAUCAGUGGCGAAGGCGGCCAUCUGGACGGUGUCUGACACUGAGGCGCGAAAGCGUGGGGAGCAAACAG
This 251-nucleotide ribosomal RNA is filed under the name uncultured prokaryote. RNAcentral describes it as "partial 16S rRNA". It matches the Rfam family "Bacterial small subunit ribosomal RNA", at positions 525 to 775 of the family's 1533-position model. The record is from RNAcentral.